RNAcentral lists this transfer RNA (66 nucleotides) under uncultured Ruminococcus sp. It matches the Rfam family "tRNA", at positions 5 to 66 of the family's 71-position model. From Rfam's summary of the family: Transfer RNA (tRNA) molecules are approximately 80 nucleotides in length. Their secondary structure includes four short double-helical elements and three loops (D, anti-codon, and T loops). Lineage: Bacteria; Bacillati; Bacillota; Clostridia; Eubacteriales; Oscillospiraceae. RNAcentral also lists the same sequence under 1 other name. The record is from RNAcentral.
GGUGUAGCGCAGUUGGUAGCGCGCCUGCUUUGGGAGCAGGAUGUCGGGGGUUCAAGUCCCUUCACU